ACGGGGGGGGCAAGCGUUGUUCGGAAUUACUGGGCGUAAAGGGCUCGUAGGCGGCCAACUAAGUCGGAUGUGAAAUCCCCAGGCUCAACUUGGGAACUGCAUCCGAUACUGGAUGGCUUGAAUUCGGGAGAGGGAUGCAGAAUUCCAGGUGUAGCGGUGAAAUGCGUAGAUAUCAGGAGGAACACCAAUUGCGAAGGCAGCUCGCUGGGACGUUACUGACGCUGAGACGCGAAAGCGUGGGGAGCAAACAGGA
RNAcentral lists this ribosomal RNA (253 nucleotides) under uncultured prokaryote. RNAcentral describes it as "partial 16S ribosomal RNA". It matches the Rfam family "Bacterial small subunit ribosomal RNA", at positions 525 to 777 of the family's 1533-position model. The record is from RNAcentral.